UAGGGAAUCUUCGGCAAUGGGGGCAACCCUGACCGAGCAACGCCGCGUGAGUGAAGAAGGUUUUCGGAUCGUAAAGCUCUGUUGUAAGUCAAGAACGGGUGUGAGAGUGGAAAGUUCACACUGUGACGGUAGCUUACCAGAAAGGGACGGCUAACUACGUGCCAGCAGCCGCGGUAAUACGUAGGUCCCGAGCGUUGUCCGGAUUUAUUGGGCGUAAAGCGAGCGCAGGCGGUUUUG
This 237-nucleotide ribosomal RNA is filed under the name uncultured bacterium. RNAcentral's name for it is "partial 16S ribosomal RNA". It matches the Rfam family "Bacterial small subunit ribosomal RNA", at positions 355 to 583 of the family's 1533-position model. The record is from RNAcentral.